UGAAUACGAGAUGCUACGGCGUCGAAGCAGUGUAUGUCAGACUUCCAAGAAAAGCUCGCAAUGUCAUAAAUAAAGAAUGCCUGUACCAUAACCGACACAGGUGGGUAGGUAGAGUAUACUAAGGGGCGCGAGAUAACUCUCUCUAAGGAACUCGGCAAAAUAACUCCGUAACUUCGGGAGAAGGAGUGCCUUCUAUUAGAAGGUUGCAAUAACAAGAUCCAAGCAACUGUUUAUCAAAAACACAGGUCUCCGCUAAGUCGUAAGACGAUGUAUGGGGGCUGACGCCUGCCCAGUGCCAGAAGGUUAAAGAAGUUGGUUAGCUUUGGCGAAGCUGAUGACUGAAGCCCUGGUGAACGGCGGCCGUAACAAUAACGGUCCUAAGGUAGCGAAAUUCCUUGUCGGGUAAGUUCCGACCCGCACGAAAGGCGUAAUGAUUUGGAUACUGUCUCGGAGAGGGACUCGGUGAAAUAGACUUGUCUGUGAAGAUGCGGACUACCUGCACCAGGACAGAAAGACCCUAUGAAGCUUUACUGUAACUUGAAAUUGAAAUUGGACUUUAUUUGCGCAGCAUAGGUGGAAGGCGUUGAGAUUACUCUUGCGGGAGUACUGGAGCCAUCAGUGAGAUACCACUCCUAUAAUGUUAGAUUUCUAACUUUGGAUCAUGAUCUGGUCAAAGAACAGUUUCAGGCGGGCAGUUUGACUGGGGCGGUCGCCUCCCAAAUGGUAACGGAGGCGUACAAAGGUUUCCUCUGAACGGGUAGAAAUCGUAUCUAGAGUGUAAAGGCAUAAGGAAGCUUGACUGUGAGACCUACAAGUCGAGCAGGGACGAAAGUCGGUCUUAGUGAUCUGACGGUGCUGAAUGGAAAGGCCGUCACUCAACGGAUAAAAGUUACUCUAGGAUAACAGGCUGAUCUCCCCCAAGAGUUCACAUCGACGGGGAGGUUUGGCACCUCGAUGUCGGCUCAUCGCAUCCUGGGGCGGUAGUACGUCCCAAGGGUUGGGCUGUUCGCCCAUGAAAGCGGUACGCGAGCUGGGUUCAGAACGUCGUGAGACAGUUCGGUCCAUAUCCGGUGUAGGCGUUAGAAUAUUGAGAGGAGCCUUCUUUAGUACGAGAGGACCGAGAAGGACAUACCUCUGGUGUACCAGUUAUCGUGCCAACGGUAAACGCUGGGUAGCUAUGUAUGGAGAGGAUAACCGCUGAAAGCAUCUAAGUGGGAAGCCCACCUCAAGAUGAGUAUUCUC
This 1242-nucleotide ribosomal RNA is filed under the name metagenome. RNAcentral describes it as "bacterial LSU rRNA". It matches the Rfam family "Bacterial large subunit ribosomal RNA", at positions 1564 to 2815 of the family's 2925-position model. The record is from RNAcentral.